CUCUGUGUCUGAAUUUUAGAAAGGAUCUCUGUGUAGUCCUAGAUGUCCUGGAAUUCCCUAUGUACUCCAUACUGGCCUUGAAUUUACAGAGGUCUGCCUGCCUCUGUCUCUGGGAUUAAAGGCAUGUAUCACCACUCCCAACCACUCCCAACUACUGUGUUGGGGUGUCUUUGGGUCUAGAAAUCCCAAGGUCUUUGGGAAAAUAUUCUGAUGCCUGGUUGGUUCCCUCUUGUCUUCCUUCUUUGCUAGCCUUCUGUCCUCAGACAUGGUGGGAGGUACCAUGCUCUAGAGUAGACAUCUGAUCGGAGACCCACAGGGAACUCUGUGAUUGGCCUUUAUGUCUUGCUGGACAACAGGUGAGCCUGGGCAUUCUCCUUAUUAUUGCAUGGCUCUAGCCAGUUUACUGCUUCCAUCUCAAUACCGCCUCCCUGCCUCCUGAGCUGUUUCUCACUCAAGCUGGGAAUCUGGUGCAAUAGCCAAAGCUUAGUAAAGAAAGGUAUAGAAGCCAGACACAGUGAGCCAAGUGCCUGCAGUAGGGGUGGGGAAGAGAGAAGAUGGCAGGGCCUUGGGGGAGUUGCCUACUGCCCUCCCUGCCCCAUCUCUCUCUUAGGUGCCUCAGCUGCUGCCUCAGCUGUAUCUCUGAGCUCCUUAAUCUGGUGAUCAGUGUGGUGCUGGGAGGGCGGGCUGGCAGAGGCUUUAGGAGGUGACAAGGGAUCUUAGGAGUCACACUCUGCUAAUGGAGCAUCACCAAGUGUCAUGGCAAAGCUGGAGAAUCACAUUCCAAGCGCAGUUCCCCCUCCAGAGGCAGCAGUCUUGGCCAGGCUGGACCCAGGAUGGGUGGUACCCAAUGAAAGCUAGGACACAGGCUCUGCCUGAUGCAAGGCAUCACUGUGUUCUUUGUUCCUGAUAAGGAAACUUCCGGAGAUUGGUGCUUUCUAGUUCUUUCUAUGUGACUAGGCCUUUAUUUUUCCACAGCUGCUCUGUAUUCCAGCUCCUACAUGCCAACUGUCAAUCCCAAUUAGAAGUGGUGUCUGUAUGUUACAGGUAGUCAUUCUCCUGGUCAGCCAGGAAAUGCUAUCAGAGACAGCCAGAUUUGUUCUACAGCAGAGUAAUUGUGCUAGACAGGAUGUCUUCCAUAUUAGCUUGAGUGGCUCAGUGGAAACUCAGAGAGUUCAGAAACUGAAGUCAGGGUGUGAAUGCAGCUCCAGGUAGUUCUGGGGUCUUAUGGACACCAGGAGGCAGGCAAAACCCUGGCUGGAGAGAAGGGACAGAGGAAGAGAUGCUAAGGGCAGACACUUGGCCCUGGAUUCAUGGGCACUUAGAUCCCUGAAUGUCCUGGGACCUCUAAAGCCUCAUCUACAAUUUUGGAAUUACUGCUACCUGUGGAGUUGCUGUGACUGGUGCAGGCACACAUGCUUUUCUCCAGAACUAUGUGACAGAUGGGAAGGAGUUGAACUUUCCAAGGUCACUUAACAUGGCUGUAUUUGGUGGGAUGGAAACAGUGGUGAUAUUCAGAGUAUUAACUUCCAACUGGCCUUGGUACUGGUAUUGCAACUUGCCUGAACCAGCAGCCCAUGGAAGAGGGCAUAGCUGGGCCUAGAUCAAUCAAUCCAUUUGUCUUUUUGUCUCUCUGUUCUAUCACAUAGGUGUCUAUUCAUCAGCAAGCACACAAACCUCCCUCAGGGCAAUUCCUGACAAGAUGGCAGGAUGCAUGAUCCCAGGGUCUCCUUUGCUCUCUCACCAGGUCCGGUAGGCCUCCCAUGGGGCACACCCCAUCUGAUCUGAGCCUCUCUGUGAGGAUGAGCUUUGCCUGGAUCUUGGACUGUCCUUUUCAGAAGCACUGUGGGCCAAGGAGUUGGGUGGGCCUGUCCUCAUUCUGACUCACCUCCUCGUGCCUCUACUUCUUUCUCUAGGGGCUGUUAGUGGCUCCCAUUGUCUGAGAGUGUGAUGCUGGAGGUGAGAUGGAGCCAUGUUCCUGAAGAAAGCAACUGGCCUCAAGGCAGCUUAAGUCUUCAGCUCCAGAAUUUUGGAGACUAUCCCCUGCCCUGGACAUGUGCACCUUGACAGUAGUGGCUUCUACUGGGUUUUCCUUACUGACAUCUUUCCUUUUCAGGGUCCAAGGUGGCCUAGUAAAAAAAAAUGAGAUCACAAGAAGAACAGCCCCACUCACCUGGAAGUCAGAGGGUCCUUGGCCCUCCUGCUCAGUUCACUAGACAAGCCUCUUUCCUCUCCAGACCUGGGAAGGAACACUGGAUGUGACCGUGUCUGCAGUCACUUAGCUGUAACAUUUUAUAACUUGGAAAUUCUUGGUGGUUUUUUUUUUUUUUCCAGCUUUGUUUCCUGCAAGUCACCCUACCUUCUGCUCCCUAACUUUCAGGAAACUCAGUCUUUUCUCUUUCAAGUUGCCCUGGGACACAGGUAGAUUCCUCUACCUAAAGCCUACAAAGAACCAACCAACCAAAGAAACAAACAAAAAAACCCAAAGCUUGUCUCAUUGCCUACCUUCAAUGUUGGAGCAGCUUGUCCUAGAGCCACAGUAUUGUCCUGUGAAGGGAAGUGAUGGGACAGGAUGUUCAGCUUUCAUGGACUCAGACAAGAGAAGUGGUAACUUCUGCCAGGGUCACAGGACAACUACAGAGCCAAGCAGCUUCAGAAAUAGAAGAGUGAGCAGGCAAAGAAAAUGCUACACCACCCAUCCUGAGGCUGCUGCAAUCCUGCCACCAGGGACUCAGCAGGAGACCAGGGAAAGUGCUCCACAACCCUUCUAGAGGGCCUUUGUCACUGACCUGCUGGCCUAGCAUCUCCUCCAUGUCUGCCCAUGCCACACCUUUCAGGACCAUUCUGGGUCUGAUGUGCUGUGGGGAUGCUCUGUCCAGGCACUUAGGAAAUGGAAACAUCACCAUUGGCAUUUUCACCUCAAACAACUAGGCAGUACCUUGGGAAGUAGCCAGAGGAAGCGACUCCAGCCUCCCAGGAGUUAAAGGCGCUUCUCCCCAGCUGUCCUCCCCUUGGUGCUCCUUCUCCUCCCUCCUUCUGCUCACAGCAGGCAGGGCCUGGAACCAGGAGCCAUGCUGCUGUGCUGUUGCCAGGGGAGCUGGGAGGCAGAUCGGAGCUAUGCAGGGGAAAGGCUCAGCCUGUCAAAGUGUCUGAGAUGAACCACCGCCAUCCCUGUGCAGCUGGGCUCAGAUGUGUCUCGGCUCUUGUUCUGUGCCUGAGAACGGUGAAGCCCAGUGAGGUUCAAGGGCACACUCGCUAUUCAUUAGUCAGGGGUUCUUGACGUCCUGUCUCUCCCAGGCAUGGGUUCCCCCCUUCUUCUUUCCCUCCCUCCUAUGACACAUUCCUGGGUGCCUGUGGUGAGGACUGCACACCCCCUCCUGCUCAGCCCCCUCCACACAAACCCUGAAUCAACUCCUGUUAAGGAGACCAGGCGGGACAGAGACAAUGGCUUCAAGAAACCAUUCAGGCGGGACCCCAGCCACAUUCGCCGGCCCUUGACUCCCAGGGCUCCUAUAGAUCCAACUCUGCUGUGACUCAGGGCACCCUUGGGCCCCCAGCUUGCACAUGCCUGGACAGAAGCAGACCACUUGGUGCUGCCCUACACAACAGGCCAGUGCAGUGCUAUUCUCAGUGGGCACCUUGGUGCCUCUGUCCCACUGGCUGGAUCUUUUUUGUGCAGUUUGUUGGAGUAGAAACUGUACAGUAUUUUCUGAAAUGUCACCACUAUGUCAAACUGUAAAAGGCACAUAUCCUUGGUUACUAAUUUCAUGAUUAGGAAUUUGUUCCAGAUACUGGAAACAUUUACUAAGAAGCAUGGACAAAGAACUGUGUGGUUCAACGGGUUAUUUAAUACCAUGGAAUACUACACAGCUGUAAAAGUGUGGUAGAUCUGUCUGCAUGCAGGCUGAUAUCAAAGGCUGACUAAUAAAUGUAAAUGAAUAAAAUAAAUAACAGGGCAGUCAAGUAUGUUCUUAUUUGUAUACAUUUAAAGUCAGUCAUGGAGUCCGAGGUAUGUGAAGGUCAGUGGUGAAAUACACACAGCAUACAAGAGGCCUGGAGUCAAAUAAAACAUAUCAGGGGGCUGGAGAGAUGGCUCAGCAGUUAAGAGCACUGAGUGUUCUUCCACAGGUCUCUGGUUCAAUUCCCAGCACCCACAUGGCAGCUAACAACUGUCUGUAACUCCAAGAUCUGACACCUUCAUACAGACAUACAGACAAAAUACCAAUGCAAAUUAAAUAAAAAAUAAAUAUUAAAAAAUAAAACGUAUCAG
Molecule: long non-coding RNA, 4267 nt
Filed under: Cricetulus griseus (Chinese hamster)
Lineage: Eukaryota; Metazoa; Chordata; Mammalia; Rodentia; Cricetidae
Description: lncRNA (ENSCGRG00015030415.1)
Source: RNAcentral